GCGCGGAAAUGUGCUAACGCCUAGCCUGACAUUAAGAAAUACCAAACCAAAAAUACCACAGCACCUAUGCACAUGUGUUUUUACAGGAGAGUGGAGCUUACUAGGAAAACGUUACUCUGAGCUUGGACCAGUUUCCUCUGCAGAAACUUCAAAAACAACGUCUACAAUAUGCCGCGUGCACGAAUGGGGAUACCAUGUGGUGGGAAUCCUAGGACUCUUCUGAUGAUUCCUGAGAUAUGCAAUCUCACCACCUCCACACACGAUUGUCAUCUAUCCAAAACCCGACAGUGGACCCAGGAAACAGGUGAUGCCUAAUCUAACUAAGGAUUCCGUGGCUGCAAUCGAUCGAGCUGGCGGAAACCGAAGUCAUGGCUUACAUGUUCUUCGCCCACGGACUUGGUUAGAGGCUCAGUGUCGGAUAAGAACAAGGUUAUUCAAUUAUAGUGCAUGGUUGGAUUUCAAGUUAUCUAAUACUCCUAAGUAAUGAAGAUCAUUCUCCAGUCCAAAACUAUAUAUACCAUCAAAUCUAUGUCCACCCAGUCCCACAGAGAUUCCAGUACAAUACUUAACUUUAUAAGGUUUAUUAAUAAUUAGGUAUUGGAAUAUACAUUUCGAACUUUAACAUAAAAGUACAUACAAACA
This is a long non-coding RNA of Drosophila erecta, 642 nucleotides long. RefSeq lists it as uncharacterized. Lineage: Eukaryota; Metazoa; Arthropoda; Insecta; Diptera; Drosophilidae. The transcript has 2 exons. The record is from RefSeq and is a predicted model, not a curated record.